This 243-nucleotide ribosomal RNA is filed under the name uncultured bacterium. Its description in RNAcentral is "partial 16S ribosomal RNA". It matches the Rfam family "Bacterial small subunit ribosomal RNA", at positions 793 to 1035 of the family's 1533-position model. The record is from RNAcentral.
GUCCACGCCGUAAACGAUGUCUACUAGCCGUUGGGACUCUUGAAGUCUUAGUGGCGCAGCUAACGCACUAAGUAGACCGCCUGGGGAGUACGGCCGCAAGGUUAAAACUCAAAUGAAUUGACGGGGGCCCGCACAAGCGGUGGAGCAUGUGGUUUAAUUCGACGCAACGCGAAGAACCUUACCUGGCCUUGGCAUGCAGAGAACUUUCCAGAGAUGGAUUGGUGCCUUCGGGAACUCUGACAC